AAAAUGUAUUUGGAAGCAGCUACUUCUUACCUUCUUUUCACGGAUUCAGGUCACCAUUCACACUCACUUGGAUUAUUGCAAUAAUUUCCUAACUGGGUUCCAUGUUUCCAGCUUUUCUGUCUGCAGUCUGUUUUGUUUUCAACAUGUGGCCAGAGGGAUCCUGUUAACAUCUAAGUGAAAUAUAUCAUUUCUCUGCAGUGGCUCCCUAGCUGCUCAGAGUAAAAUCUAAUGUUUUUACAAUGGCCUGAAAGGCUCUCCAUAACCUUAUCCCCUCCCACUUACCUCCCUGUCUCCUCUCCUCCCUCCGACACUCAGCCCCUGUGUAUUUUAGCUAUUGAAAGAAUAUGUGGGCACACUGCUAAUUUAUUGUCUUUGUGGAGGCUUGGUUUGUGCAUUCCUUAUUUCAAACACUUAUGGGUGGACUCUGGUAAUGAGCAGUCAUAUUUAUGAGUCCCCCUCCAAGUGAGGAGAUGUACUAGGUGGAAUGUGCGCCCUCCCUCACGUGGUAUACUCUUGAUACAGAGCCAAGCAGGUAGUACCGUUGGUCCUGCUUUGUAGGUGAGGGAAAGCAGACCCAAAAUGAAGGAAGUUGUCCAGGGUUACAUGCUGGGAAGUGGUGGAGGUAGAAUUCAAACCCGGAGCGCAGGCGUUGUCUGCACCUCGGAGAGGCACCGCUCUUCCUGAAAUGCUCCUCCCUGGUUAUCUAUGAGGCUGAAGUCCUCACCUCUUUCAGGUCUUUGCUGAAUUAGAACCUUCUCCAUAAGGCAAGGCUGAUGCUGAGCACCCCACUGAAAAUUUUCCUCUCUCCCAAGACCCUCUUCUCAGUCCCUCUACUUGGCUCAUUUCAGGUGUCUAGCACGUCACGCCCUUUAAUACAUUUUGCAAGUAUUUCUCCACGAGUGUGAGAAAGUGGUUUUCUUUGGUGGGGGUUGAUUUUUCAUGGCACAUAAAGGGCAGCAGGGUUUCUUUGGGUCCUGUCUGGAGGCCUGAAGGUCACGCUGGGCUUCUGGGGAGCGGGUCCCCUUCCUGCAGCCUCCCUCUCCACUUGCGUGUUUCUCACUCCUCUCUCUCCCUGGGAAGUGUUGCUUGAUAAAGAUGCAGCUUUUAAUUAAUGUAACUGUUCAAGAUUACAGCCGGUCAUCAGCUUUCUAACCAGUGCCUCACAGCUCUGCUGGAAGAGCCUUGCUCCGGUGAUGGUUGAUUUGCCAUUCUCUGUCCCAGCCCAGAGAAGCUCCCCUCACUGUCAACGUGCCAUCUGUCAGGUGCAUGUUAUAAAGCUGUCAUCAUGAUCAGCUCAUUCACGCACCAGCUUUAGCUUUGAGGAACUGCCGGCCAUGGCGUUGAAGACCUGCUGAAGCCUCCAGCCAGACAUCUGAUGUUCAGGUCUCAGGGGGUCCUUGCUGCUUGUGUAGCCUGACAGGUGUGGCCACGGCAGGCACACCAUGGUUUGGAGUUUGGAAAGAAGAGACCCUGUGUUAUUGUAGAGUGACCACUGGAUUGGGCUUCUGGAAAUCCAAUUCUAAUCAGACUUGGGUUAUGCAUUUACUAUUUCAAUAAAACAUUUAUGGAUGGACUCUGGUAAUCAACAGCCAUAUUUUUGAGUACCCACUGCAGACCCUGGAAGCUGUCCUGAAUUUCAAAUACUCUGGAGGCCCGGGCCACACUGAAGGAUAUUACAGGAAUCUCUCCCUGGGGCUGCAUGUAGAAGUCGAGCCGUCUGUAUUUUUCACCCGAGUCAGCACCCUCCCAGCAACCAGGUAAAUGUCUUCCUGCCGCACAGCCGUCUUGUUCUAGAGUCUCAACAGCACUACGUUCAGAAUCCUGACCUCAGUGUGUUUUUGUCAUGCAUCCCGUCAGAUCCGUGCCAUGGGGCCAAGUUGCUGAGCCUCUCUGGGAUGUAGGUUUUUCUUUAGGAAACCAGGUGUUACAUGAGAACUGCCUCUCAGGUGGUCGUAAGUGAAUGGGCUUUA
Homo sapiens (human) is the source of this 1970-nucleotide long non-coding RNA. The record is from Ensembl. NCBI's taxonomy places the organism in Eukaryota, Metazoa, Chordata, Mammalia, Primates, Hominidae.